GGAUCAAUACGUCGGUCGUGCCUUGGUACGUACUAACGUUAUUGAUUUCUCCCUUCUAACAAAUCGUGAUGUCAUUAAUUUGGUGUUACGGGGAGUUAGGACUGUUACUUUGAAAAAAUUAGAGUGUUUAAAGCAGGCAAUCGCUCGAAUACAUUAGCAUGGAAUAAUGAAAUAGGACGUUCGAACCUAUUUUGUUGGUUUCUAGGAUCGACGUA
This 215-nucleotide ribosomal RNA is filed under the name uncultured Glomus. RNAcentral describes it as "partial 18S ribosomal RNA". The stretch from base 39 to 215 matches the Rfam family "Eukaryotic small subunit ribosomal RNA", at positions 686 to 864 of the family's 1831-position model. The record is from RNAcentral. RNAcentral also lists the same sequence under 1 other name. Lineage: Eukaryota; Fungi; Glomeromycota; Glomeromycetes; Glomerales; Glomeraceae.